Molecule: non-coding RNA, 3781 nt
Organism: Phoenix dactylifera (date palm)
Lineage: Eukaryota; Viridiplantae; Streptophyta; Magnoliopsida; Arecales; Arecaceae
Source: RefSeq, a predicted model, not a curated record
GAGCCCCGCUGCCAUCUCCCACCUCCUCGCUGUUGGCGUGUCGCUGCUGCCGCCCUCCUUUCUGUCCCAGAUCACGACCUUUCCUGCAUAUCCAUUCAACCCGACUCGAUCCCCCGACUGCACUUUCCGGAGGUUGAGCCGCCCUCCUCGCCGGCACUUUCCACCUACCUUCGUCAACGGCCACCGCACCGUCCUCCCCCGUCUCUCUCCGGCGGUGGUGGAUUGGAGAAGAAGAAGAAAUGGUCGAGGGGGCUGACAUGAGGGAGAUGGAGGAAGGCAUGGCACGAGGGGCGAGGGAAGCAGGGGGAUGGCUGUGGGCAGAAAUAGGGCUCGGGGAGGGAGAGCGGGCAGCUGGAUCUCCGUCGACGACGACAAAGAUGGGUGCCAACUCAUCUUGCGCUUUUUUUUCAGAAAAAAAAAACCUAACUCUUGAAAGCCGAUCGUUGACUAGUGGGCGUGCUCAGAUUAGUGCGCCUUAUUAUUUUUAUUUUUAUACGCAUCAUCUUUUCGGUUAAAGUUCCUCAAGCUGUAGGCACCAUCACCAUGUGCGCGUGGCAGUUCUCCUUGUAUCGACCCGCGGCCCCUUGUAUUUUUUCCCCUUCUUUUUCGGUUCAAGCAUCAUCUUUCCUUCAGCUUAAACUUCUUAAGUCUCACUUCCAUUUGCAGAAACCAGAAUCCAAUCUUUCUUCAAAGUUGACGAGGGGCAGAGUUGAUGGUACAGUACAAUGGCAGUAGUCGGCAAGGGAAGGAUCGGGAUGACGAACGGAUCCCUCCCUCGUUACUCCACCUCCUCUUGCCUUCGUCGUAACAAGCUCCUGGGAAUGCCGGUGUUGCUUGCGUCCUUUGGAUGGAUCUGUGGCUUCUUCUUGAUCACUGCUUCCUUUUACUCUUUGCUGGACCAGAAGCAACACCAGCAGAAGCUUCUCUGUGAUAACGAUGGGUGUUUUCCGAGCAUUACAAUCUAUGCUGCACCGCGGCCAUUCUCUGCAGAUAAACUGGAUUUGGUCAGAGCAAGGCAGGAGCUGGCCGUGCGGUCGUGGCUUGCUCUCUCUCCGGGUGUUGAUGUCGUUCUCUUUGGGCAGCACCCAUCUAUUAUUGCCUUCGCCGGGACUCUUGGUUCCCGAGUUACGGUCGAAUCUGACAUUGAUUUCACGUUCCUGGGGACACCCUUUUUUCACUCCAUGGUCGCAAGAUCUCAAGCUUCUCGUUCUGACAUUUCUAUGAUUAUUGAUUCUGAAACUGUUCUCUUGGCUGACAUCCUUACUACCUUACAUCAUGCUUACAAACUCAACCAUGACUGGUUCCUUUUUUCCAAGUCACUAGACAUUUCACACUUUUCAUUUCAGUUAGUUGACAAUGGGAAGCAGUGGCUACGAAAGGAUGGCAAAAAAAUAAAAUUUGAGAAGUUGCAGGAGUAUCUAGUUCAAAAACAGCAGCAGAGUGAGAGGUUUCUUAUGGCAUGGAACACAGGGGACCUACCUCUGCAUGCUGGGAUUCUUCCUCCUUUCUUAUAUGGGAAAGGUCUUCACAAUGAAUGGCUUGUAAAUGAGGUGUUGUCAUCAGACUUAAGAUUGGUAUUUGAUGCUACCGAGGUUGUAUCCAGUUUCUAUCCUGAAAUGUUGGGUCAGUGGUCUCACAAGUAUCUUCCACAUGCUGGCGGUGUGGCUGAAAGAAAUUGGGAGUAUAGAGGAAACCAUCAUCUUGCUGCACUAUAUGGAACAUUUUUCCUACGACAAAAUAACACUCCUAGUAACCUAAUUAAACUUGUGAAGUGUUUUGGGCAAUAUUAUUUCAUCAAUCAAGCAAAAAAAACUGUCUAUUUUUUACAAGGACCAAACAGACAUGCAUCUUACAGUUUGGAGCCAGUUUCAAGUCGAGAACAGGAAACAUUACAAUUAUCAACAAGAUUCUUGCACUUCUGGAAAGAGAAGAAGUGGAAAACCUGUCUAGAGGAUAUCAAUUCAUUAGACAAAGAGCGCAAAUACUCUCUCUUGACAUCGUACAAGGUUUCUUUUGAAGUGUCUGUACCAUUAUCUAUUACAUUCUCUUUGGAAUCACUCCUCCAAAUGAUUGCAGACGAGGAUAAAUCCGUUGUGCUUGCAGUUGCUGGAGAUAGUUACAGGGACAUGCUUAUGAGUUGGGUCUGCCGUUUACGCCUAUUGGCAGUCCAUAAUUUUAUAGUCUGUGCUCUUGAUUCUGAAAUUUAUCAUUUUUCAGUAUUGCAGGGCUUGCCAGUCUUCAAGGAUCCACUGGCUCCGAGCAAUAUCAGCUUCAAUAAUUGCCACUUUGGCACCGAGUGUUUUCAGAGAGUGACUAAAGUGAAAUCCCGAAUAGUUCUGCAGAUACUAAAAUUGGGAUACAAUGUCCUAAUGAGUGAUGUUGAUGUCUAUUGGUUUGAUAACCCAUUGCCAUUUCUCCUCUCCUUUGGUCCUGCUGCAUUGCUGGCACAGUCAGAUGAAUACAAUGAAACAGGACCCAUAAACUUGCCAAGGCGACUGAACUCUGGUUUUUACUUCGCUCGCUCUGAUUUGACUACAAUUGCUGCAAUGGAGAUGGUGGUGAGGCAUGCAUCUAGUUCAGUCUUAUCGGAGCAGCCAAGCUUCUAUGAUGUUUUAUGUGGGGAAGGUGGUGUGAACCGUGUUGGUGAUGACCAAUGUCGGGAGCCCACUACAAACCUGACUGUGUUUUUCUUGGAUAGGAACUUCUUUCCUAAUGGAGCCUACAAAGGCCUGUGGGAGAAGCCUGAUGUCAGAUCUGCUUGCAUGAAGCUAGGAUGCCUAAUCCUUCAUAACAACUGGAUUAGUGGAAGGAAGAAAAAACUGGAACGCCAAGUGCUUUCUGGCUUGUGGGACUAUGAUCCUAGCUCUAGGUUGUGCCUGCGCAGUUGGCACAGGACCAAAUUUAUGACUAAUUUCUGAAUAUCAGCUGGUAAUGGUCUCAUUUUCUCCCUGAUUAGCAAAGUGUGGGUCCUUCUACAGUAAUUUAUCUGACAGCCAAAAUGAGCAUAAUGGAGGUGAUGAUAACAAGAGGAAGGCAAUUAUCUCCACUCCUCAUUGUACCUCUCAUCUUGUAAGUUUGUGCUUCCAGCAAUUGCUGAGAAGAAUUUGAAGAAUUGGGCUAGGAGAAUCAAGCAAACUUGACUAGGCAGUACAAGAAAACACAACAAAGCAACAUAUAACCUCUAUUUGUCCUUGCUUUCAUCAGAAUUUGAAUGCAGAUAUUCAGCUUAUGUUGGAGAGCUAUUAAAUUUAUGACUCUAAAGAGGUAUGUUCAUUAUAAGUUGUUGCAUGUCGCCUACUACUGCAUAAGGGGCCAAGAGAAGAAAGAUACUAAAGUUGCUGACGGGUAUCUAUAGAUAUCCAAUAUCUUAGUAAUGCAUCAGCAGCACAAUGAUUCAGUUGUAAGGAUUGUUCUUGCUGGGGUAAUUGUUCGAAUUUAUUAUAAGGUGGUGGAACAAAUUUCUGGCGGUCGCCUAGGACGGGCCGAUGAUGAGCUCCAUCGAGCCAUUGAGCUGCCAUGCUGGAUGCCCCAAGAUCUCUUUUUCCAUCUGCUAGUUUUGGCCAUUGGCGAUCCUAUUUUUGUUGAAAGAGGAGAGUUGCUAGAUCCCGAUUUUACUCAGUUGCUAGAUGCUAGUGGCUAAUGGAUGGAGAGAGGCUAGCAGUCUAUCGAAAAGGGGUCCUCGGCAGUUGCCAAGUUGAGAUUAGGUGAAAGGGCUACAUAUUUUAGCCCCCUUCUUCACUAGAUCAAGAGGAAGAAAUGGUUAUUUGGUUUCGACCUGAAG